GAGGAAGGUGGGUAUGUUAAUAGCAUACUCAUUUUGACGUUAGCUGCAGAAGAAGCACCGGCUAACUCCGUGCCAGCAGCCGCGGUAAUACGGGAGGGUGCGAGCGUUAAUCGGAAUUACUGGGCGUAAAGCGCAUGCAGGUGGUUUGUUAAGUCAGAUGUGAAAAGCCCGGGGCUCAACCUCGGAAUUGCUAUUUGAAACUGGCAAACUAGAGUACUGUAGAGGGGGGUAGAAUUUCAGGUGUAGCGGUGAAAAUGCGUAGAGAUCUGAAGGAAUACCGGUGGCGAAGGCGGCCCCCUCGGACAGAUACUGACACUCAGAUGCGAAAGCGUGGGGAGCAAACAGGAUUAGAUCCCCUGGUAG
Molecule: ribosomal RNA, 363 nt
Filed under: uncultured bacterium
Lineage: Bacteria
Description: bacterial SSU rRNA
Rfam family: Bacterial small subunit ribosomal RNA
Source: RNAcentral